UGUCUCUCUGUUCCUCCUUCUCUCCCUGUGCCCUUCUGUCUCUCUCUCUCUCUCUCUCUCUCUCACUCUCUCAGGUGGUCGCUGCCUCUCGUGAGCGUAAUCAGAGACUGAAAUAACUCCCCUGAAGAGCCUGUGACCGAAGAGCUGAAGUGGUGCCUCUUUCCAAAAAUAGAGCUGAUUGACCGUUACACUUUAAUUACGAAGAAAAAAGAAAAAGAAAAGAAUUUGAGUUAUUUUUGUAAUCUGGUGUUGAAUGUCCCCAUCAGAGGUCAUCCCCAGCAGUUCAUCAUUCCUGGAGGAAGAACAAAAUUCUAGUCACCACAGAUGAGAAUAGUAAGACUUCAUAUGCUGAGAGAGAGAGAGAGAGAGAGAGAGAGAGAGAGAGAGAGAGUGUUAGUGUGUGUGUGUGUGUGUGUGUGUGUGUGUGUGUGUGGUACUUAGGUCCUGCCCCCAUCCCCACCUCCAAACACCACUUUAUUUUUCUACAAGAAAUUGAGGAAAUUAUGUCUGAGAACACACACACACACACACACACACACACACACACAUAUACACAUGUACACAUUCACUCAUCAGGGGGUGUCCCUGCUGAAAAUCUGCACUCAUCUUUCUCUCUUAUACCAUCCCUUUCACACACACCUAUCCUCACACUCAGAGACACACACACACACACACACUCACACACAGCUGCCAACAUGUGCCUUUCAGCAGUUUUCCUCCUGCUGACGCUGUGCGGUUCUUCUGUUGGUCAGUAUCUGUCCAGGUUCAACAUGGCGGGAGUCACCGGUUCGGUCCGGUUUGACUCCAUGCAACAGACAGCCACUGUAAACCUCAGUGGUACCGGCGUAGAAACAUGUGGCUCCUUCAAUCUGACGCUCACCGAGUUUCCUGUAAUGUACGGUCACGUGGCCCAGCCCUGUGAGAAAGCCCACAUAGGAGCUCGUGUGUUCACGCUGUCUAUUAACACUUCUGUUUCUUUAGUGAACAUCUCCGGUAUGCUCCAUCAAACCCCCAAUCUGGAAGCACGCUCUUUAUUGGUAGAGACAUGUAAUGGCACGAAGGCUUGUGCAGGUGUCAUAGCAGAGUCAAAGGUCAGCACUUGGCAGGCUCGGUUCUUUAGUAUCGUGGCUGGGAACAUCUACCUCCGGCAGAUAUUGGGGCAACCGAGCGCCACACUUCUUUCCAACCUGGUCGAUCUGAAUCAGAAUAGCUCCUCUUUCGUGAACGUGAACGUUUUUCUAUCUCGGAGUUCUGCUGCUAGCUGUGAAGCAUUGCUGGGCAGCCUGAACCUAAACAGUUUGAUAAAGUUGGGCCAGCUGAUGGUAGGCACUCCUAGUGAACCUGUCAAAUCCCGUUUAGAGAUCCCAUCUCUUGAUGCUGGAUUUCGCUUUGCUCUAUUCAAUCUCAGCUCAGAGUAUACAUGUGCUGAGAUCCGAACCUUAGAACCGAAGGAGGUCAGUGCUCUGAUAGACAUGAGAGGGGUCAAAGGUUAUAUCACCUUUCGCCAGCCGUCUCCCUUUGAACUUACUACUCUCUCUGUGAACCUCACCAAUCUGAACAGAAGGGUUGGGCCGUACCACGUUCAUCUGUUUCCCACCCCAGAGAUGAGGUCACCCCCUGAAAGCACCUGCAGCAAUGAUAAUGUUGGGGGCCACUGGAAUCCCUUUAAUGUGGACACUCAGCCAUCUGUUUAUCCCCCACCCCCUGGCUCAACCCAUGACCACUAUGAAACUGGAGACCUCAGUUCCCGACAUGGAUCGUUAAGUAAUGAAGAUGACAUCCAGGCAAGCUUCACCGACUGGAAUCUGCCACUCUUUGGACAGAAUAGCAUUGUUGGUCGUUCUGUGGUUCUGCACCAGCCUGACGGUAAGAGGUUUAUCUGCUCAAGCAUUGGCUACCCUGGGGAAGUGAUCACAGCCCAGGCCAUCUUCCAGAGCCCAGUGGUGGGUACUAUCGUGUUCACUCAGUUGAAAGGAAACCCUUGCUCUGAUGUCUCAGUGUUCCUGGACUUGUCUUACGGACGACUGAAUACUCCUGCAACUCAGAAACACCACUGGCACAUUCAUACCUACCCCAUCAGCACCGAGAGAGACAGUGAUGAGGGUUGCUGUAGAUCCACUGGGGGACACUGGAACCCUUACAACAUCGACACCAGUGCAAGCAGCUAUAAGGUAAACUGUGGACCAGAAUGUCCUUUUGCUUGUGAGAUUGGAGACCUGUCCAGCAAACACAAGAUGCUGAAUUUGUCACCAAAUGUAGGGAAACUACCUAGCAAGAACUUCUUCACAGAUACUACAGCCUGGGUGUCUGGACUGAGCAGCAUGAUUGGUCGGUCUGUAGUGAUUCAUGGCCCUGACGAGGCUGGCCAUCGCAUUGCUUGUGCCAACAUCACACUCCUGCGCUUCCCCUCGGCUCAGACCGGAUCCUGGCAAGGGUCAGGGUCAUCUGGGGGAAAUGUCCACUUCUUCCAGCUCUCUCCCCAGGGUCCAACCAACAUCCAUGUCUCUCUCACUCGUCUGGAGGCCAAAGCUGGUGGAUACCAUGUCCAUCUGCUCCCAGUAAAAAGUGGACCAGCGGCCUGCUCCAACGAGAAUGUCAUGGGCCACUUCAACCCAUAUGGCGUGAAUGUCUCGACGUCUCCAGCACCGGGGAACGGCACAGUGGAUCAGUAUGAGAUUGGCGAUAUCAGCGGGAAGUUUGGGAGUCUAGCUGAUCAGAACCAAUUCGAGAAACAUUACGAGGACAGUAACAUGCCACUGAGUGGACCCAACAGCAUCAUAGGACGGUCGGUGGUUAUCCACUACAGGAAUGGAUCAAGGAUGCAGUGUGCUAAUAUCUCAGCCAUGGACUCCUCUGACGGGCACUGGAUCAUCGCCAAGGCCGUUUUCAACAGCCGUGUGAAGGGCACAGUAGUCCUGUCCCAACAGUGUUUUCCUGAUGGCAGCUUCAGUGACACGACCCUGCUGGUGGACCUCAGAGCGUCUAACACUGUUAAUGUCAAAAACGCUUCCUGGUACAUAACCGAAAGUCCGUUCAGUGGACUGGUGGCUGAAUGUCCAGGAAAUGGAAGAACUUAUAACCCUUUCAACAUGACAGCUCAGAGCUCCAACUGUUCCCCACUCACCUAUUUGGCGUGCGAGGUUGGAGAUCUGACCAGCAAACUCGGCUCCGUCAGUUUAACACAAAGGCAGCUCUUUACAGAUGCGCAUCUUCAGCUGGCUGGAGACUACACAGAAAGGAUAACACCAAGGGCGUUAAUGUAAACCUGUGAGUGGAAGCUGCACUACGGUCAGAGCUGCUGAUCCAGAACAUGAAUCAAUCACCUUCUGUCUGAUCCGAAUCCAGAAUUCAACGCUGUUUCUCAUAUCGAGUGAUGCAUGAUAAAAUACCUGAAGGAUGCUUUAUUCAUCCUUUAAAGUACUCCAGUACCAAGAUUUUUAGAAACUCAUCUUGGAUGGAUUAUUCUGAAUGGUGUUACGUGACGGGAGUCGACUCUCACUGAUCACCUAAAUGAGAGCUGACUCAAAGAGCCGACGUGAACAAACGAAAACCCUUUUGCUGUUUGUUUCGUCAGUCGUUUACAGAACGCUAGUCCUGAGGGCAGGAAACGAGACCAUCGAUUGUGCGGACAUCGUCCCUGUGUCACCAUCGGCGCAGCAAAUCUUCCCGAACAUAAAAUCCUUCAGCAGUUAUGAUUUCCGUAAAAGGGUGGCAG
RNA transcript from Ictalurus furcatus (blue catfish), 3715 nucleotides. It is a transcript of the gene named Copper-only SOD repeat protein, with no coding region annotated. NCBI's taxonomy places the organism in Eukaryota, Metazoa, Chordata, Actinopteri, Siluriformes, Ictaluridae. The record is from RefSeq and is a predicted model, not a curated record. The transcript has 8 exons.